UACGAAGGGGGCUAGCGUUGUUCGGAUUUACUGGGCGUAAAGCGCACGUAGGCGGCUUGUUAAGUGAGGGGUGAAAUCCUGGAGCUCAACUCCAGAACUGCCUUUCAUACUGGCAAGCUAGAGUCCGGAAGAGGUGAGUGGAACUCCUAGUGUAGAGGUGGAAUUCAUAGAUAUUAGGAAGAACACCAGUGGCGAAGGCGGCUCACUGGUCCGGUACUGACGCUGAGGUGCGAAAGCGUGGGGAGCAAACAGG
RNAcentral lists this ribosomal RNA (253 nucleotides) under uncultured bacterium. RNAcentral describes it as "partial 16S ribosomal RNA". It matches the Rfam family "Bacterial small subunit ribosomal RNA", at positions 524 to 776 of the family's 1533-position model. The record is from RNAcentral.